This 897-nucleotide ribosomal RNA is filed under the name Fusarium solani. Its description in RNAcentral is "LSU rRNA". It matches the Rfam family "Eukaryotic large subunit ribosomal RNA", at positions 38 to 965 of the family's 3401-position model. The record is from RNAcentral. Lineage: Eukaryota; Fungi; Ascomycota; Sordariomycetes; Hypocreales; Nectriaceae.
GCAUAUCAAUAAGCGGAGGAAAAGAAACCAACAGGGAUUGCCCCAGUAACGGCGAGUGAAGCGGCAACAGCUCAAAUUUGAAAUCUGGCUCUCGGGCCCGAGUUGUAAUUUGUAGAGGAUGCUUUUGGUGAGGUGCCUUCCGAGUUCCCUGGAACGGGACGCCAUAGAGGGUGAGAGCCCCGUCUGGUUGGACGCCGAACCUCUGUAAAGCUCCUUCGACGAGUCGAGUAGUUUGGGAAUGCUGCUCUAAAUGGGAGGUAUAUGUCUUCUAAAGCUAAAUACCGGCCAGAGACCGAUAGCGCACAAGUAGAGUGAUCGAAAGAUGAAAAGAACUUUGAAAAGAGAGUUAAACAGUACGUGAAAUUGUUGAAAGGGAAGCGCUUGUGACCAGACUUGGGCUUGGUUGAUCAUCCGGGGUUCUCCCCGGUGCACUCUUCCGGCCCAGGCCAGCAUCAGUUCGCCCUGGGGGACAAAGGCAUCGGGAACGUGGCUCUCUCCGGGGAGUGUUAUAGCCCGUUGCGUAAUACCCUGCGGCGGACUGAGGUUCGCGCAUUCGCAAGGAUGCUGGCGUAAUGGUCAUCAGUGACCCGUCUUGAAACACGGACCAAGGAGUCGUCUUCGUAUGCGAGUGUUCGGGUGUCAAACCCCUACGCGAAAUGAAAGUGAACGCAGGUGAGAGCUUCGGCGCAUCAUCGACCGAUCCUGAUGUUAUCGGAUGGAUUUGAGUAAGAGCAUACGGGGCCGGACCCGAAAGAAGGUGAACUAUGCCUGUGUAGGGUGAAGCCAGAGGAAACUCUGGUGGAGGCUCGCAGCGGUUCUGACGUGCAAAUCGAUCGUCAAACAUGGGCAUGGGGGCGAAAGACUAAUCGAACCUUCUAGUAGCUGGUUUCCGCCGAA